CUUGAACCCUGUACGUAGACCAGUUGCCAAACCCAGACAACUUGCCAAACUCCCCCUCACUCCUGGAAGGUCUACUUGUGAUGUGGAAUCACCCUCUAGUGUGACCUGGAUGCCUAUUCAGGAGAGUAGCUGGACCCGACUUCUACAUGGUUUUCUUUUGAUGCAGAUCCUGGCCUUGAACACUGUACGUAGUCCAGUUGCCAAACCUCCCUCACUCCUGGAAGACCUACUUGUGAUGUGGAAUCACCCUCUGUUGUGACCUGGAUGCCUAUUCAGGUUUACUUUCGGUGCUGAUCCUGGCCUUGAACCCUGUAUGUAGACCACUUGCCAAACCUCCCUCACUCCUGGAAGACCUACUUGUGACGUGGAAUCACCCUCUGUUA
Molecule: long non-coding RNA, 383 nt
Organism: Pseudophryne corroboree (corroboree frog)
Lineage: Eukaryota; Metazoa; Chordata; Amphibia; Anura; Myobatrachidae
Exons: 3
Source: RefSeq, a predicted model, not a curated record